CACCGCCGCUGGUCCACCUUGGAGCCGCCGUCGAAGCAGAGCCGCGGAAAGAGAUGAGUUCGCGUAGGGAAGAGAGAAAUGAAACUGGGAGAGAAAACGAGCACGAGAGGAAGGAGACGGCCGUUCUCAUCGCUGCUAGAGGUUCCACCGCCAUCGUUGGUGCCAACCGAAGUCACCGCCGCCUUUGCAAGCUUUUUCCGAGCUGUUUUAGUUCUGGUCCUGCUACAACUCGCCAAUGUCCCUACUCAUUUCUAACAUUUGUUCAGCCUUCGCCAUAGCUUGCCGUCGCUGGAGAAACACUUCCGGAACUGCUCAAAUUCGCUGUACCAUUCUUGUUGCGCUCCGAUCGAUUUGAAUCUACCGCUUUUCUUGGUGUUAUGGUCAUUGUCGUUAUAACGGGGAGUUAAUGUUGUUGCUACUAUUGCAGUUCUGGUUGCUGCAGUUUUGAUUUCUAUGAGUUUCAAUACUAAGAUGCAGUGGCUUGCCACCACUUGCUCCAGGUUGAGACUCGAUACUCU
Molecule: non-coding RNA, 518 nt
Organism: Arachis ipaensis
Lineage: Eukaryota; Viridiplantae; Streptophyta; Magnoliopsida; Fabales; Fabaceae
Source: RefSeq, a predicted model, not a curated record